UGGAAUAACUCACCGAAAGGUGUGCUAAUACCGGAUACGUUGAGAAAUCAAGAAAGGUGGCCUCUGCAUAUGCUACUGUGCUGGGAUGAGCUUGCGUACCAUUAGCUAGUUGGUAGGGUAAUGGCCUACCAAGGCGACGAUGGUUAGCGGGUCUGAGAGGAUGAUCCGCCACACUGGAACUGGAACACGGACCAGACUCCUACGGGAGGCAGCAGUGAGGAAUAUUGCGCAAUGGGGGCAACCCUGACGCAGCGACGCCGCGUGGAUGAUGAAGGCCUUCGGGUCGUAAAAUCCUGUCAGAUGGAAAGAAGUGCAUGGUGGCUAAUACCUGCCAUGUUUGACGGUACCAUCGAAGGAAGCACCGGCUAACUCCGUGCCAGCAGCCGCGGUAA
Molecule: ribosomal RNA, 392 nt
Filed under: uncultured delta proteobacterium
Lineage: Bacteria; Deltaproteobacteria
Description: bacterial SSU rRNA
Rfam family: Bacterial small subunit ribosomal RNA
Source: RNAcentral